RNAcentral lists this microRNA precursor (103 nucleotides) under Marmota monax (woodchuck). Lineage: Eukaryota; Metazoa; Chordata; Mammalia; Rodentia; Sciuridae. The record is from RNAcentral.
AGUGGGAUAGCUGGGUCAAAUGGUGGUUCCAUUCCAAGUGUUCUGAGGAAUCUCCAUAUUGCUUUCCAUAUUGGUUGCACCAAUUUGCAGACCUGCCAGCAAU